This 7391-nucleotide long non-coding RNA is filed under the name Malus domestica (apple). Its description in RNAcentral is "long non-coding RNA (MDOM_LNC019134)". Lineage: Eukaryota; Viridiplantae; Streptophyta; Magnoliopsida; Rosales; Rosaceae. The record is from RNAcentral.
AAACUUUUAGGCUCUUGAAUUGAAAGAAAAGGGCCCGGAAUAGAGAUUUUCGAAUGAAUAUAGGUAAUGAGAACAUCAUCCCACUUUAUGGGUCUACGGGUUAUGUUUCGAAAAUCCAACCAUGCAUCUCGUAGGUGAUCCAUUAGAGAUCAUCUAUGCCCAAAAUGAAAAGAAUACGAAACAUUUAGGCUCUUGAAUUGUAAGAAAAGAUCCUGAAAUAUAGAAUUUCUAAUGAAUAUGGGUAAUGAGAACAUCAUCCCACUUUAUGGGUCUACGAGUUAUGUGGAUGCAAAUUUCUUUCUCCUUGCUCUUGGACAAAAUUGCACGUACAAAAUAAAUAACAUCUUAGGUCAAGGCUGUGGAUGCAAAUUUCUUCCUCCUUUGUCUUGGACAAAAUUGCACCUACAAAACGAAUAACACCUUAGGUUAAGGCCAAGAGCCUCACGCUCCCAUGAUGUUUGGGGGGGGGGGUUUGGUCGAAGAACCUCCGAUGCCAAAGUUAGAAUUUUGAGGGAAAAAUGUUUGGAGAAUUUAGAGAGUUUAGCAAGAGAAUUCGAAUUUGGUUUUCUAGAGAAAAUGGGGUGGUAUAUAUAAGGCAUGACCGGUCCCCUUGGGAGGGAAGGUUGUCGGCCCUUUGUGUAUUUUUUGUAAUUGGUAAUUUAAUUAGCCAUUUAAUAGAUUAAUUAUCUAAUAAAUCUAUUAAUUAGCUAUUAACAUAAUUUAAAAGGAAUGUUUUAGAGGUUACCUUGUGGAGAAGAUAUGUUAAGGAUGGAUGAAAUAAGUUUAAAAAUAAAUACCUAUUUGGGCACCUUUGACUUGAUUAAGGGAUGAUUGUCCAUUGCUCACGCGUAGGAAUCCCAAUGUGCCUCAAGGGUAAUUUUGUUCUUUUUACCCAAAAAUCCACAUGUCGCCUUGUGAAAAAAGCUCCACAAAGGACAAAAGCCUCACGCGCCCACGAUGAAUUGGGGAGGGGGCUUUGGCUGAAGAACCUCCGAUGCCAAAGUUAGAUUUUUGUGGGAAAAUUGUAUGGAAAAUUUAGAGAAUUUAGCAAGAGAAUUGGAAUUAGGUUUUGGAGAGAAUGGGGGUGUUUAUAUAGGGGUGUGGCCGUCCACCUUGGGAGGAGAUGGACCAGCCACUUGGAUGGUUUUGUGGGUGUAGUUCAUGAUUUGUGUUUAAUUAGGAAAUUAGUUGAAUAAUUAAUCAAUUAAUUAGCUAAUUAAUAUAAUAAAAAAGGAAUGAUUUAGGGGUUACCUUGUGGAGAAGAUUUGAUGAGGAUGGAUGAAAUAGGUUAUAAAUAAAUACUUAGUUUGGGCACUUUUGACUUGAUUGAGGGAUGAUUGUCCACUACUCGCGGGUAGGAAUUUCGGUGUUCCUUGAGGGUAAUUUUGUCCUUUUUACCCUAGAAUCCAUGUGUCGCCUUCAUAUUGUUCUUGAUUAUUUUUGGCUCCACAAAUGCCCCCACACUUGUUGGGCUGCUCGCAGGAAAGGGUAGCAGAUGUAGAGAUCUUCUUGCUUUAGGAAACGUAGGAUUGUUUCUAAUUUUGAUGUAGAGUCCCUUUUUAAUUCGAAAUUAGAUCCUUCUAGGAAAGGGAAAUAAAUCACUUCUAAAGUCUAUUUAAAUCUACCUUAAGUAGAUGAUUGAAUCAACUUUAGAGAGCAAUUUAUUCUACCCUACAAGAGAGAGAAAGCUAGAGGAUAUUUGUUCCCUUUCCCCUAGCAAUCUUCUACACUUGCCCGUGCAAAGGACCAUCUUUCAUUGCUUUCUUCGUCUUCUCCAUGCCACACCGAAGUAAGAAAAAAUUAUUUUUCCUUGUCUUCUUCUUCGAUAGUGUUAUCACGGGGCAGCCGUCGGGGUGGUGCGGCACGUAGGCUGGCAAGGACCAGGAGUUGGCUUGGCAUGGGCCGAGGAGGUCUUGUGGCACAGACCACUGCUUGGACUACUUGGUUUGGCUAAAGCCAAGGGCAUCUGUGCAACUGGGGCCACGGAUUAUGGCACUGGGGUGUAGUGCUACGCGAGUCGCAUUGCUUAUGUCCUUUAGGUUCUUGGGGCCCGGUUCCCCACGGAUUAGGCCUAGAAACCUAAAAUCCUUUAGUUAGCUAAGCCUUGAAAAAGACCAUUCUGGCUACUUCUUGGAAUCUUGGCGCAAGCCAUCGUGCAUCUAGUUAUACCAGGGCAGCUCGGCUCAUCCACAUUUGGAUAUUCGGAGUGUAAGUUUAUCCUCCCACGUUGGAGAACAGACCCAUGUAGGUGUCAGGGAAUUGGUUUACCCUCUCGCACUGAAGAGCAAUUAGUUUAUCCUCUUCCAUUGGAUAGCAGACGCAUAUGGUUGUCGGGGAAUUGGUUUACCCCUUUGCACUGGAGAGCAUGGUUGGUCCAUCGGGGGGUGCAAUUCCUGCAAUGAGUCCCUAAGAAGGGCACGAUCUUCUUUUGAAGUGCAAGAGUGAUACGUUGUUGUAAGCAUGUAGCCGAGCCAAGUUGUAUAUUACUUCUGAAUUCCUCAUUGAAAAACUAGUGAAAUGAACGAGAACUUAGCUGUAAGGUAUAAACUACAUAACAAUUGGAUAGUCCUCGACUUGUGAGGUAGUGCCUAUCAAGCUGCUUGAGUCUUCAGGCUUUGAUGUGGCGGGAGGUCACAUAUGAUACUUCCUCAUAUUGUAGGUGUUCCGCUGCUUUUCGAUCUCUUUGUCGUUCAUGGUGGCGAGGGUGUAAUUACCCUUGCCACCUACUUUGCUGAUCUUGUACGUACCUUCCCAGCUGGGAUCCAUCUUUUUGGAGCCUUCUCUGCAGGCAGUGAUGAAGGCUUUUCUUAGGACUAGAUCUUUGGGUUGGAACUACUAGAUCUUGCUCUUUUGUUGUAGCUAAAGAGGAGUUGUUGCUGGUAGGCUGCCAUGCGGGUGUUGGUCUGCUUGCGUUUCUCCUCUGCCAGAUCUAAGGUUGUGGCCAACUCUUUACUAUUUUGAUCGAUGUUUGGCAGUAGAGUGCUGAUACUUGGCAUGAUGACAUUGGGAGGAAUGAUUCUGAACCAAAUGCCAAAGAGAAAGGAGUCUCAUCGAUGGCUCAUCGUUUGGUGGUGCGAUAUGCCCAUAGACAUUCGGCGAGUUCAUCUGGCCAUUGUCCCUUUUUGUCUGAGAAGGAUUUCUUGAGGUUGUUGAGGAUUGUCUUGUUGGAUGCUUCGGCCUGCCCAUUGCCUUAAGGAUAUCUCAGCAUGGACAUGUGUUGCUUGAUGCCAUACUUUUGGAAGAACUUCGCCAAAUCUUUGCCCAUAAAUUGCGGUCCGUUGUUAGACGAUGGACUGAAGGAUGCCAAAUUGAGUGGGCAAGAAACUUAGUGCAUUUCUUGUGGGCGUUGUUUGCCCACAUAACUUGAGUGAGGGUGUAAGUCUAAAAUGCCUUAAGUUUCUUGCAUACUUUUUCUAAGUAUUGCACCUUCCUUGGAUGUUUUGCCUUGUGCUCCCCAAUAAUCUGGCCGGUGAUUAGCUGGGAAUCAGAAUGGAUUGCAAGCUUUUUCACCGCCAAGUCUUUUUCCAUUCAAGGACCUGCUAGUAAGGCUUUGUAGUUUGCUUCGUUGUUGGAUACCUUGAAGCCUAGAGUAAUCGUAUGCUUGAGCAUCGAACCGUCUGGGGUGACAAGGACCAUGCUUGCUUCCGAUCCUUUGUAGUUGGAUGCAUCGUCGACAUGCAAAUGCCAAAAGUCUCCAUUAGGCGAAGCAUGCGUGGCUAGGGUGUGCUUGGUUGCUUCUGAAGCACCAUUGGGUCGCUCUGUUACAUCCCCUAGGCUAGACAUGAAGGUGCGGUAGGGAGUCGUGCAGCUGGGGCCAUGUUACACGUAGUAGAAGAUGCUCAACUGCUGGUAUUGAGCCACUCUAGAGCUGAAUUAUGAAGCAAGGGUCAGCUAGGGCCAUGUGACGCGCAACAGGUGGUGGUACUCAACUGCCGGUACAUGUUGCUCUUAUGUAGAAUCUUCUAGGGCGACGAGGACAAAACUUGCUUCUAAGUGUCCUUCUAGUGUUCGUCUGCCCUUGACAUGCCUUUUAGGCUUAGUUGUUGCUUUCGUAAAAAAACGUUGUACCACCAGUGUCUGUGCCUUUAUUGUCGUGCAUCUGGAUUGGGAGAAAUAGUGCAUCAUGAGGAUGACUGCGUGCAUAUGAAGGUAUAACUUCAGCUUCUGGGUUGCAACAACUAUCGCCAAAGUUAGCUUUUGAAUUUCUGGUAGUUGGUUUCAAUAUCGAGGAAAGCUUUUGAACUAUGGAAUACAGGUAGUCGGGCCCCCAGCUCUUCUCAUAUGAUGGUUGAGCUUAUUGCUACUUCAGAUACCGUCAAACAAGCGAAUAGGUCCUCUGCUUCUUUCGGUUUGGAUAAUAAGGAGGUGAUGUCAGUACUCCUUCAAGUCCUUGAAUCUGGAUUGGCGAGCUUCAUCCCAAAGGGCAUGCUUAUCUGCCAGAGUGACAAAGUCAGCAAGAGUUAGGUCUUCUUUCAUGAUUAACUCCCCAAACAAUGGGUGGUCUGCUGGGAGUCCCUUUUGGAAGGCUACACUUGCUAUCGAGUCAUUGCAUUCGACUAUCUUUACCUUCUCUGCUUUGAACCUAUUUUGGGUUCUUCUUGAUGUUGACCACGUGGUAGGACUUUUUCUUGAUCGAGCGAUAGGAUGAAUAUCCUUUGGGGAAAACCAAAAAAAAUUCGUCGAAACUCCAUAUGGAUUGUGGCGGCAGGGUGUAGAUCUAAUCUUGCCCCUCACCUUGUAGAGUGGUGGCAAAUAUCUUGCACAUAAGAUCGUCAUUGUUUUGAUAGAGGAUCAUUGCGCUUCGGUAGUGCUUCCAAUGUCUCUUUGGGUCUCCAUCUCCUUUAAAGAUGUGAAAUGUGGCAUGCUAAACUCACAUGGAGGCUCUGCCUGCUCGAUCUCAUCUGUGAAGGGUGACUUACUUAUGUUGCUCAUGUCCCGUCGUAGUGCCUUGUCGGUGACCUCGUUGCGUUGGAAUCAUGCAAUCGCUUGGUCAAGAGACUCUCUACUUCUUCCUGAAUUUUCUUUUGUUAGGGUAAUGGAGCUCUCGGCUGCCUCCAGUCGUGACCUGCUGAUCUAGGUUAUUCUUAUAUGUACUUGGCUCGUCUAUGCCAUAGUUGCGGUGCAUGUGGUUCAUUCCUAGCAGGCGAGCGAAUUCUUCGCAAUCUGCUGAUUAAACUUUAGUCGAAUUGAGUGAGUGCUUUUCUCCGUUUAUCGUGCUACCUAUUUCAAUGUGAGGUGGAGGAUGCUCAUUGCAGGCCUAGCCAUGAAUGAACACUUCGCCUGGAAGGUUGUCCAUGUUGUUCAUUGGAGUGUGGUCCUAAUCAUGAGUGUAUACUCAUCUGUGGGCCUAGUCGAUAGUGUAUGCUCCUCCACACACUUAGAUGGGAGUAUACGCUAUCUCGGGGGCUUAGUCGGGAGUGUACACUGCCCAAACGCUCAGUUCAUGGUGGGUUGAGUGGAUGCUUGCUGGGACGUUGUUGGAGAGGUUCUUCAUCUGCCCUUGUCCUACUUCGGGACACCUCGUCUGGGGCGCAUUAGAUCUCAGUGCGCUCGUCAACUCUAUGAUUUUUCGAGACAAAUGUUGUUCUCCAUUUGGGUUGGAAGAGGUUGGAAGGAAUUCGUCUCCAUGAGCAGUGGAAGUGUGGUAGACUCCGGGUGCGAGAUUUGAGUUAGGAAAUGUCAAAUUCACGAAGAAAUACGGUGAAAAUGCCCCUAGUUCGAUCGUAGGCCCAGAAAUUUGAAGCUGGGAUGGUUAAACUAAUCUUGGACUAAUUUAGGCUGCUUGGAAAGCCAUGGGAGUAGGUUGGGUCGCAAGAGCAGGCUGGGCCACUGGAGUGCGCUGCUAGGCGUGUGGCACACGCGGAUGUGAGGCUUGGGCUCAGCUUCGCAACGUGUUGAGUUUGGACAGCAUAGUUCAGCUUAGCUAGGGCUUAGGCCCUUGAAGGUUUAAGUGGCACGGCUUGGGCCGUGGCCUUGGAGCCAUGGGUUUUGCCAAUGGUGGCUACCGUGGUGGUUACCACGGUGGUGCCUCGUGGGGGUGCCGCUCCGCUUACCACUAUGUUGAGCCUUGUAGUGGUCCGAAUCCUUGAACGUUGGAAUUUCCGUUUGUCAAGGUUUGCAAAUCAUUUGCCAUUGUACUUUUGUUUUAUGUUUUAUCAAAGAAUUUUUAGAAAUAAAAAUUCCAAAGAUAAGAAUGUACAAAAAAUCUACAAAUAAGCAAAGAAACAAAAAGACUUAGAUACGAGAGUCUUCUACGAGCGUGUGACUCAACUCUCAAUGAAAGCACCAAUUUGUGGAUGCAAAUUUCUUUCUCCUUGCUCUUGGACAAAAUUACACCUACAAAAUAAAUAAUAUCUUAGGUCAAGGUCAAUAGUCUAACGCACCCACGAUGAAGUGGGGGGGUGCUUUAGCUGAAGAACCUCCAAUGCCAAAAGUUAGAAUUUUGAGGAAAAAGUGUUUAGAGAAUUUAGAGAAUUUAACAAGAGAAUGGAAUUCAGUUUUGGAUACAAUGAGGGUGUUUAUAUAAGGGUGUAGCCAGCCACCUUGGGAGGAGAUGGACCAGCUACUUGGAUGGUUUUAGGGGUGAAGUUAAUGAUUUGUGUUUAAUUAGCAAAUUAAUUAAAUAAUUAAUCAAUUAAUUAGCUAAUUAAUAUAAUAAAACAAGAAUGAUUUAGGGGGUUACCUUGUGGAGAAGAUUUGAUGAGGAUGGAUGAAAUAGGUUAUAAAUAAAUACCUAUUUUUGGCACUUUUGACUUGAUUGUGGGAUGAUUGUCUGCUGCUCACGCGUAGGAAUUUUGAUGUUCCUCGAGGGUAAUUUUGUGCUUUUCACCCUAGAAUCCACAUAUCGCCUUCAUAUUCUUCUUGAUUAUUUUUGGCUCUGUUGAUGCACAAAACCGAAGGUCUUGGAACAACGUAAAUCCAACCGUGAAUCUGCAUGUAAUGUAAAUAACACAGGAUGUAUCGUGGUUCACCCCAAGGUUUGGGCUACGUCCACAUUGAUUGUAUUUCUCUGAGAGUAUUUGUGAGGGAGAGAGUGUGAGAGCUUUGCCCUAGAUAAGAGAGGCUUAGGAAAUGGCCUCCCUUAAUUAUGAGGGUGAGGGGUCCUUUUAUAGAAGAAGGACUCCUCACUUAUUACAUAUUUGCCCCUUCCUUUAUCACAUAAUUACAUUUAAGUCUCUCGAGUAUUUGUACGAGAUCUAAAUACGAGGCCCUAAAUAUGGUAUAAACAGUAGUCCCCCAAGUCUUCAGUCAAGAGAGUCUUUUGGCUGGAGACUUGAAAUUCAGUCCAUGUGUAGGCCGAAGUAACUAGAUGUUGUUUUGAACUGAUAUUCGAUAUGAGGCGGUGCUCAAUUUGAAAUGAUGCUCAACUAGAAGUAGCACAUACUGCUCGG